RNAcentral lists this long non-coding RNA (575 nucleotides) under Olea europaea subsp. europaea. The record is from RNAcentral. Lineage: Eukaryota; Viridiplantae; Streptophyta; Magnoliopsida; Lamiales; Oleaceae.
CGAAUUUGUAAAGCGCCAGUGGUGAAGCUGUUGACAUGGAUGGAAGAAAUGGAGUUAAUAUCGAAUUUUUAUUUUCUAAAUACGCAUCAUUCACCUUCGUCGUUGGUGGCUUCGAUUUUUAAUUUUUCGAAAUAUGAUGAUAUUUAUCAGACUGUCCCUUCGUCUUCAUUGUCUUCCAUUUUCAAAACAUGCUGUUGAGAUGAUCCAUUCCGUGUAUGAUUUUUACUUGGUGAUUAGCCCAUGAACGUUGUAUUUAUUAAAAUUGAUUUACCUAGUGCAAAUUUUGAUUUUAGUCAAAAACGAAAAAUGAUAUUGAGACAUAGGGCAUGUCAUUGUUGUCCCUGUUGCUUGAUAUGAGUUGUUUCCUUUUGAGAAUUCUGUUACGCUUUGUAUCCGAAGUGAUUAGAAUGGCCACAUGGAGGCAUUAUACGCAGACAUCUGGUAGUCAGCGAAGUCAGAGAGGGAACAAGCUGCUCUUUGCCCAAGGUGCCAUCCUUUCCCGAAGUUCAUUGCCGAAGCACUUCCUCCCAAAGCUGAACCUCUUCACAUCCUAAGCUCCUCCUCUUAAAACAGAA